UCUUAUAGGGGCGGAAUUGAAUUUAGGCGGCGGGGAAUUCGCCCUUGUGCAGCCGCCGGUAAUCAAUAAAAAUAUAAGACGAUGUUCGGAUUCUGGCUAGAGCCUUUUCCGGGAAGAAAAAAUAAAUCAGGGGUGAAAUCCCAGAGCUCAACUCUGGAACUGCCUUUGAUACUGGGUAUCUUGAGUAUGGAAGAGGUAAGUGGAAUUCCGAGUGUAGAGGUGAAAUUCGUAGAUAUUCGGAGGAACACCAGUGGCGAAGGCGGCUUACUGGCCCAUUACUGACGCUGAGGUGCGAACGCGGGGGGAGCAAACAGGGUUAGAUACCCUGGGGAGGCCACGCCGUAAACGAUGAAUGUUAGCCGGCGGGCAGGAAACUGUUCGGGGGGCGCCACUUAACGCAUUUAAACAUUCCGCCUGGGGAAGUACGCCGCAGGAUUUAAACUCCAGGGAAUCGUCGUGGGCCCGCACAAGCGGGGGA
Molecule: ribosomal RNA, 478 nt
Filed under: uncultured bacterium
Lineage: Bacteria
Description: bacterial SSU rRNA
Rfam family: Bacterial small subunit ribosomal RNA
Source: RNAcentral